Polypterus senegalus (gray bichir) is the source of this 528-nucleotide long non-coding RNA. RefSeq lists it as uncharacterized. The record is from RefSeq and is a predicted model, not a curated record. Lineage: Eukaryota; Metazoa; Chordata; Cladistia; Polypteriformes; Polypteridae. The transcript is spliced from 3 exons.
UGCGGCAGCAGGCUUCUUUCAUGUAACACCAGGAGUAUUUUUUAUGGCACAUUAGCAUGGCCUGGAAGCACUUCUGGGUGGAGCAGGAGCCCGACAAAGUAGGCCCCAAUGGGACCCAACAGGGCUGAGUAGCAAGCAGGAAUCCAUCUGCCAUGAAGCCCUGAGGGAACCUGUGGGCCUGCAGCAACCCAGGGAGGCUACUGUCUAGAUAAAGAGAUAAUGCCCUAUGCAUGGUCUCUUUCCCAGUCCGUUCAGUAUACAGAUGUCCCUGCCAGAAUGGAAGAUUGCAUUAUCUUAGCCUCCUGCACCCACCCCGUCAUGCCUGGAACAAAUAACACUGGAAGUUCGCCCAGUCUGAGUUCAAUUCUGAGCUUCUGUAUGAAAGGACGUUACCCACAACUGGUUGUGUAACUCAUCCCUCAAAGACAUCAAGCCCCACGGGUGACUCACAACCAUUAUAUGCUUGACCAAUGAAACGAUAUCUCCAUUAGAUUUGAGAAAACAGCCUGUCAAUUUGUCUUUACUUAA